GAUGAACGCUGGCGGCGUGCCUAAUACAUGCAAGUCGAGCGAACAGACGAGGAGCUUGCUCCUCUGACGUUAGCGGCGGACGGGUGAGUAACACGUGGAUAACCUACCUAUAAGACUGGGAUAACUUCGGGAAACCGGAGCUAAUACCGGAUAAUAUAUUGAACCGCAUGGUUCAAUAGUGAAAGACGGUUUUGCUGUCACUUAUAGAUGGAUCCGCGCCGCAUUAGCUAGUUGGUAAGGUAACGGCUUACCAAGGCGACGAUGCGUAGCCGACCUGAGAGGGUGAUCGGCCACACUGGAACUGGGACACGGUCCAGACGCCUACGGGAGGCAGCAGUAGGGAAUCUUCCGCAAUGGGCGAAAGCCUGGCGGAGCAACGCCGCGUGAGUGAUGAAGGUCUUCGGAUCGUAAAACUCUGUUAUUAGGGAAGAACAAAUGUGUAAGUAACUAUGCACGUCUUGACGGUACCUAAUCAGAAAGCCACGGCUAACUACGUG
This 497-nucleotide ribosomal RNA is filed under the name uncultured bacterium. RNAcentral describes it as "partial 16S ribosomal RNA". It matches the Rfam family "Bacterial small subunit ribosomal RNA", at positions 28 to 507 of the family's 1533-position model. The record is from RNAcentral.